This 293-nucleotide RNase P RNA is filed under the name Aliarcobacter cryaerophilus. RNAcentral's name for it is "Arcobacter cryaerophilus RNase P RNA component class A". It matches the Rfam family "Bacterial RNase P class A". Rfam says of the family: Ribonuclease P (RNase P) is a ubiquitous endoribonuclease, found in archaea, bacteria and eukarya as well as chloroplasts and mitochondria. Its best characterised activity is the generation of mature 5'-ends of tRNAs by cleaving the 5'-leader elements of precursor-tRNAs. Lineage: Bacteria; Pseudomonadati; Campylobacterota; Epsilonproteobacteria; Campylobacterales; Arcobacteraceae. The record is from RNAcentral.
AAAGGUAGAUAGACAAUAGCUUGAUUUCAAGAGGAAAGUCCGUGCUGCAGUGAAGCAAGGUUCCAUCUAACGGAUGGCUAGAGUAAUCUAAGGGAUAGUGCAACAGAAAGUAUACAGCCAAUUUUUGGUGAUGGUGAAACGGUAGAGUAAGAGCCUACCAGUGUUUUGAGUAAUCUUAACAGCUUUGUAAACCCAACUUCACAUUUUUCGUCUUCGCAUGAGUAUUAAAGUGAUUUAAUACCUAGAUAAAUUAUUGUCAAAUACAAAACACGGCUUAUAAUCUACCUUUUAAA